RNAcentral lists this ribosomal RNA (117 nucleotides) under Pteropus alecto (black flying fox). Lineage: Eukaryota; Metazoa; Chordata; Mammalia; Chiroptera; Pteropodidae. The record is from RNAcentral.
GUCUACGGCCAUGUCAUCCUGAACGCCCGAUCCCAUCUGAUCUCGGAAGCUAAGCAGGGUUGGGCCUGGUUAGUACUUGGAUGGGAGACCACCUAGGAAGACCAGAUGCUGUAGGCG